CCAAUAGCGUAUAUUAAAGUUGUUGCAGUUAAAAAGCUCGUAGUUGAAUUUCGGAAUCAGUACGCCGGUCGUGCCUCCGGUAUGAACUGGUGUCACUGGUUCCUCCCUUCUGAAGAACCAUCAUGCCAUUCACUUGGUGUGGUGGGAAAUCAGGACUGUUACUUUGAAAAAAAUUAGAGUGUUUAAAGCAGGCUCACGCUUGAAUACAUUAGCAUGGAAUAAUGAAAUAGGACGUUGAUCUUAUUUUGUUGGUUUCUAGGAUUGACGUAAUGAUUAAUAGGGAUAGUUGGGGGCAUUAGUAUUCAAUUGUCAGAGGUGAAAUUCUUGGAUUUAUUGAAGACUAACUACUGCGAAAGCAUUUGCCAAGGAUGUUUUCAUUAAUCAAGAACGAAAGUUAGGGGAUCGAAGACGAUCAGAUACCGUCGUAGUCUUAACCAUAAACUAUGCCGACUAGGGAUCGGAUGAUGUUAAUUUUUUAAUGACUCAUUCGGCGCCUUACG
This 500-nucleotide ribosomal RNA is filed under the name uncultured Glomeromycotina. RNAcentral describes it as "partial small subunit ribosomal RNA". It matches the Rfam family "Eukaryotic small subunit ribosomal RNA", at positions 591 to 1092 of the family's 1831-position model. The record is from RNAcentral. Lineage: Eukaryota; Fungi; Glomeromycota.